UGCAGAACCGGAAGUACCUUCUGAGCACCGCCAGGAGCUUUUAAGGCUGUGCGUUUUUGGAAAAAUCCCUGAAACUAUCCGGCGCAGCAACCAGGGGAAGAAGCCUGAAGAAGAAUGGCCAGCUCCAGUUCUCAACACAUGGCCUGUGGUUCAGUGACAUUUAGGGAUGUGGCUGUUGACUUCUCUCAGGAGGAGUGGGCCUGCCUGGAUGCUACUCAGAAGGUCCUAUACAGGGACGCGAUGUUGGAGACCUACAGCCACCUCGUCACAGUGGUGGGAAGUUGCCUUUCUAAGCCACAUCUGAUCACCUUACUAGAGCAGGAGAAAGAGCCCUGGAUGGCUGUGAAGGAAGAAACAGACAGGCCGAGCCCAGAGUUGGAGACAGGUUAUGAUGCUGAAAAUAUAUCUCCAGAAAAUCCUAUUAAUAAUGGAAAGUUUCUCAAACAGAGCAUAAAGCAAUUAAGUAGAACUUUUGACUUCAAGGACUCUAGUUCUAGUAAUGGCCCCAACUAUAGUGCAUUCCAUGGACUAAAGGAUUGUCAAGGAGAUGCUGAUCAACAGAUUACUAACAAGGAAGAAAUGCCUCCUUAUACCUGCCAGACUCUUGCUCACAAUAUAGAAAGAGCAUAUGAAUGUAAGGAGUGUGGGAAGUGCUUGGGUUGUAGGUCAACUCUCACUCAGCAUCAGACUAUUCAUACUGGAGAGAAACCCUAUGAAUGUAAGGAGUGUGGGAAGGCCUUCAGACUCCCCCAACAGCUUACAAGACAUCAGAAGUUUCACAGUGGUGAGAAACCUUUCAAGUGCAAUGAAUGUGGAAAGGCGUUUCAUCUUCCUGACCUGCUCAAGUACCAUAAAACCAUCCAUACAGGUACAAAACCAUUUGAAUGCAGGGAGUGUGGGAAGGCCUUCAACCGGGUCUCCAACCUUGUUGCACAUAGGAUUAUUCAUGCUGAUGUGAAACCAUAUGAAUGUAAUGAGUGUGGGAAAGCCUUUAAACGUCGUUCAAACCUUGUGCAACAUCAGAAAAUUCAUUCUGAUGAGAGACCUUUUCAGUGUAAGGACUGUGGGAAAGGCUUCAUUGUUCUGGCCCAGCUCACUAGGCACCAGAACAUUCACACUGGAGAGAAAUUGUUUGAAUGUCAUGAAUGUGGUAAGGCCUUCAGACUUCCCCAACAGCUUACAAGACAUCAGAAGUCUCACAGUGGUGAGAAACCUUUCAAGUGCAAUGAAUGUGGAAAGGCGUUUCAUCUUCCUGACCUGCUCAAGUACCAUAAAACCAUCCAUACAGGUACAAAACCAUUUGAAUGCAGGGAGUGUGGGAAGUCCUUCAACCGGGUCUCCAACCUUGUUGAACAUAGGAUUAUUCAUGCUGAUGUAAAACCAUAUGCCUGUAAUCAGUGUGGGAAAGCCUUUAAACGUCAAAAAAGCCUCAUGCAACAUCAGAAAAUUCAUUCUGGUGAAAGACCUUUUCAGUGCAAGGACUGUGGAAAGGCCUUCAUUGUUCUGAGUCAUCUCACUAGGCACCAAACUAUUCAUACUGGAGAGAAGUCAUUUGAAUGUAACGAAUGUGGCAAGAAAUUCAGAACUGCCACACACCUUGUUAUGCACCAAACUAUUCAUACAGGUGAAAAACCCUUCGAAUGUAAUGUAUGUGGGAAGGCCUUUCGGCUUCAGGUGUACCUUUCUGAGCAUCAGAAAACUCACAUUGAAGGAAAACCCUUCAAGUGUAAGCUCUGUGGGUCAGCCUUCAGACGUAAGUACCAACUUAAUGAACAUUACACAAUUCAUACUGAUGAAAAACCCUAUCAGUGCAAGGAAUGUGGGAAAUGCUUUCGUCAAAGGUCCAAUUUUACUGAACAUCAGAGUAUUCACACUGGAAACAAACCCUUUGAGUGUAAAGAAUGUGGGAAGUCCUUUAGACUUAACACACUUCUCAUUCGUCAUCAGAAAUCUCAUAGUGGUGAGAGACCUUAUGAGUGUAAAGAAUGUGGAAAGGCUUUUCAUCUUCCCAGUGAACUUAAUAACCAUCAAAUUGUUCAUACAAGUAAGAGACCCUUUGAAUGUAAGGUAUGUGGGAAGUCCUUCAAGCGCGAAUCCACCCUCAUUCAACAUGGGGCUGUUCAUGCUGGUGUGAAAUCAUAUGAGUGCAGCGAGUGUGGGAAAGCCUUUAUUCACCGGUCAAGCCUGUUUCACCAUCGGAAAAUUCAUUCUGAUGAGAAACCUUUUAAGUGUCAGGAGUGUGGAAAGGCUUUCGUUGUUCUGGCAUACCUCACUCGGCACCAGAGCAUCCAUAAUGGAGAGAAAUCAUUUGAAUGCCAGCAGUGUGGGUCAACCUUCAAAUACAAAUCCCAGCUCAAUAAACAUCAGAGAAGUCAUACUGAUGUGAAACUCUUUCAGUGCAUGGAAGGUGGAAAUGACUUUGUUCCUGGAACAAACCUUAGCAUUCAUCAGGGAAUCCAUAGUGGUGAGAAUCCCUUUCAGUGUAAUGAAUAUGGGGAAGCUUUUAAAUACCAUUACCAAUUUCCUUGGACAUUUUAGAAUUCAUAUUGACAAGAAUCCUUAUGAAUGUAAAAAAUGUGGGAUGUACUUUGUACCUGGUAGAGAUGUUAAACUACAUCAAAGAAUUCACACUGGUGAAAAACUUAGAAUUAGGAAUGUGGAAGACUUUUAGUUGAAUAUGAAACUUGUUUUGAUGUUCUAAAUGUAGUAAGUCUUAAGGAAAAUGGAAAGGCCUACAGUAAUUCUAAGCUAUGUAUAUCAAAGAAUUUCUACUGAUGAGAAAUUCUAGGCAUAUAAAUAAGGUGGCAAAAUGUUUAGAUUUAGUUCAGCCUUCAUGCACAGUGACAAAUUCAUAUUGGUAAUAAACCCUAUCACUGUAAAGAAUUUGCAAAGAGCUUUAAUUGGAGCUUAGGACUUCUCCAAAAUCAAAGAAGCUAUGCAGUCAAAUGUAAUGAAUGCAAGGUAUGUGGGGACAUUCAUAGAAUUUGCUGUUAAAGCUCAUCAGAGAGUCCAUAUAGGUCUGAAACUCUGUGAAUGUGAAGUGUCAGGAAAAGUCUUUAUUGUAAGUGAUGAGCUUAUACAACAGGAGAAAACACAUCAUCUCCAGGAGGCCCAUGCAUGUAAGGAAGAAGGACAACCCAGUGUAUGAAAAUGUUACGGGACACCAGAGAACUCAUAUUGGGAAGACUGUAACAUAAAAGAAUAUGGGAACUUUAAUCUGCCCUGGGAUAUGGUCGACAUCAAAAUAUUCAUGUACUGUUGAUGCCAAGAAACCCUUUGAAAUGAGAAUGUGGAAAGUUGGUUGUUCAGAGAAGAUACUCUGUUGAAAAUAUCUUUUACUGUCAGAAAUACAAUGUAGUAAUCAUGUUCUUGAUUUAUUGUCAUCUUGUUAGUUGUAGAAACUUCAUUCAUUAGUCACCAAGGGCUGUCAACUUCGGGAGAACAGUUAUUGCAACUAGGUUUGUCUGAGAUGCUUUCGUUGUCACCAUGGCCCCUGUGAUAUUAGAUUAGAUAUUUACUCUUUGCAUAACUUUUUAAUGGCCAGCACAGUACCAACCAAAGUCAUGGCAACAGAUUUAUAAUAGAUAAUAAAAUCCUUGUCAGUAUUUGGUCAAUGCCUAUGUUUUAUAAUAUAGCUUUUACAUAGUUCUAGUUUCAUGAACAUUAGUGUAAUUGACAUGAAAGCCUAAUUCUACUUCAGAUCACUUAGGAAAGCCUCAUGCUUUCACCCACUCUUAGAUUUUAAAUACCUUUAUUACAUGUAGCAGAUGUAUUUGAAUUUGAUGUAUCUGAACAUGAAAGUAUUUGAAUUGUGAUUCCAUUUCUUUUGUAUUUGUGUGGUAAAGUUUUAAAACACAGUCAUUGGUAAUAAGUACUUUCUAAAGGGGUAAAAACCAUAAAAAAUUCAAGAGUUAAAAUCCUAUUAUUUAUGCCCUUUCAACACAUGAAGAUAAACUAUACAUUUGUGACAAGACAAAGUUCUUGGGUCCUCCAUCUCUUAUUCUUGCUGAGGACAUUGUAGCUUCAACUAGAAUUUGAUUCCCUUGAUAAAGAAUCUCAUGGAAUUGCCUCUGAUAAUUUAUCAUGGCUCUGUUUAAACCUCCUCCUCCAACUAUCUGCUUAUCUUGGCAUCUGUUAAACUGCCUGCUUGGGCAAAAGCUCCCUGCAGCUGCUGAGCAAGAUAAUAGAAUGUGGGUUUUGUUCUAAAUGCUUGGGGUUAUACUUGGGUCCCAAAUACCUGAAUGCACUCAGAGAUGGCUGGAAUAAAGACUUUCAUUUGGCUCUAAA
This is an RNA transcript of Rattus norvegicus (Norway rat), 4287 nucleotides long. It is a transcript of the gene named zinc finger protein 780B, pseudogene 1, with no coding region annotated. NCBI's taxonomy places the organism in Eukaryota, Metazoa, Chordata, Mammalia, Rodentia, Muridae. The record is from RefSeq and is a predicted model, not a curated record.